GACGAACGCUGGCGGCGUGCUUAACACAUGCAAGUCGAACGGAAAGGCCCUGCUUUUGUGGGGUGCUCGAGUGGCGAACGGGUGAGUAACACGUGAGUAACCUGCCCUUGACUUUGGGAUAACUUCAGGAAACUGGGGCUAAUACCGGAUAGGAGCUCCUGCUGCAUGGUGGGGGUUGGAAAGUUUCGGCGGUUGGGCAUGGACUCGCGGCUUAUCAGCUUGUUGGUGGGGUAGUGGCUUACCAAGGCCUUGACGGGUAGCCGGCCUGAGAGGGUGACCGGCCACAUUGGGACUGAGAUACGGCCCAGACUCCUACGGGAGGCAGCAGUGGGGAAUAUUGCACAAUGGGCGGAAGCCUGAUGCAGCAACGCCGCGUGCGGGAUGACGGCCUUCGGGUUGUAAACCGCUUUCGCCUGUGACGAAGCGUGAGUGACGGUAAUGGGUAAAGAAGCACCGGCUAACUACGUG
RNAcentral lists this ribosomal RNA (468 nucleotides) under uncultured bacterium. Its description in RNAcentral is "partial 16S ribosomal RNA". It matches the Rfam family "Bacterial small subunit ribosomal RNA", at positions 28 to 507 of the family's 1533-position model. The record is from RNAcentral.